GGGCUUCAAAAGGGUGAAGGAGAUAGAUAGAAGAAAGUGAAAGGGUGGAACUCGCUGCUAUCGAAAAUCGGUUAAUCUUGUUGCUCAAAGUUGAAGAGUUUUUGGAAAUCUUGGAACAUUACACUCCUUAGCGUCAAUUUUAGACCACCACAUUAUGUGGAAUUUUGCAUCCAAUUGUGUAGCUGGGAAUAUUGGGCUAAAGAAUGAGAUUCUGAGGCGUACUCAGCAUUCAGCAGAUGGCUCAGACGAUGAAACCUCUUCAAGAACCAGCAGGGAGGAGGGACUUGAGUGUCCAAUAUGCUGGGAAUCUUUCAACAUU
This 319-nucleotide unclassified non-coding RNA is filed under the name Hevea brasiliensis (rubber tree). Lineage: Eukaryota; Viridiplantae; Streptophyta; Magnoliopsida; Malpighiales; Euphorbiaceae. The record is from RNAcentral.